RNAcentral lists this ribosomal RNA (1408 nucleotides) under Bacillus inaquosorum. Its description in RNAcentral is "bacterial SSU rRNA". It matches the Rfam family "Bacterial small subunit ribosomal RNA". Lineage: Bacteria; Bacillati; Bacillota; Bacilli; Caryophanales; Bacillaceae. The record is from RNAcentral.
AUGCAGUCGAGCGGACAGAUGGGAGCUUGCUCCCUGAUGUUAGCGGCGGACGGGUGAGUAACACGUGGGUAACCUGCCUGUAAGACUGGGAUAACUCCGGGAAACCGGGGCUAAUACCGGAUGGUUGUUUGAACCGCAUGGUUCAAACAUAAAAGGUGGCUUCGGCUACCACUUACAGAUGGACCCGCGGCGCAUUAGCUAGUUGGUGAGGUAACGGCUCACCAAGGCAACGAUGCGUAGCCGACCUGAGAGGGUGAUCGGCCACACUGGGACUGAGACACGGCCCAGANUCCUACGGGAGGCAGCAGUAGGGAUCUUCCGCAAUGGACGAAAGUCUGACGGAGCAACGCCGCGUGAGUGAUGAAGGUUUUCGGAUCGUAAAGCUCUGUUGUUAGGGAAGAACAAGUACCGUUCGAAUAGGGCGGNACCUUGACGGUACCUAACCAGAAAGCCACGGCUAACUACGUGCCAGCAGCCGCGGUAAUACGUAGGUGGCAAGCGUUGUCCGGAAUUAUUGGGCGUAAAGGGCUCGCAGGCGGUUUCUUAAGUCUGAUGUGAAAGCCCCCGGCUCAACCGGGGAGGGUCAUUGGAAACUGGGGAACUUGAGUGCAGAAGAGGAGAGUGGAAUUCCACGUGUAGCGGUGAAAUGCGUAGAGAUGUGGAGGAACACCAGUGGCGAAGGCGACUCUCUGGUCUGUAACUGACGCUGAGGAGCGAAAGCGUGGGGAGCGAACAGGAUUAGAUACCCUGGUAGUCCACGCCGUAAACGAUGAGUGCUAAGUGUUAGGGGGUUUCCGCCCCUUAGUGCUGCAGCUAACGCAUUAAGCACUCCGCCUGGGGAGUACGGUCGCAAGACUGAAACUCAAAGGAAUUGACGGGGGCCCGCACAAGCGGUGGAGCAUGUGGUUUAAUUCGAAGCAACGCGAAGAACCUUACCAGGUCUUGACAUCCUCUGACAAUCCUAGAGAUAGGACGUCCCCUUCGGGGGCAGAGUGACAGGUGGUGCAUGGUUGUCGUCAGCUCGUGUCGUGAGAUGUUGGGUUAAGUCCCGCAACGAGCGCAACCCUUGAUCUUAGUUGCCAGCAUUCAGUUGGGCACUCUAAGGUGACUGCCGGUGACAAACCGGAGGAAGGUGGGGAUGACGUCAAAUCAUCAUGCCCCUUAUGACCUGGGCUACACACGUGCUACAAUGGACAGAACAAAGGGCAGCGAAACCGCGAGGUUAAGCCAAUCCCACAAAUCUGUUCUCAGUUCGGAUCGCAGUCUGCAACUCGACUGCGUGAAGCUGGAAUCGCUAGUAAUCGCGGAUCAGCAUGCCGCGGUGAAUACGUUCCCGGGCCUUGUACACACCGCCCGUCACACCACGAGAGUUUGUAACACCCGAAGUCGGUGAGGUAACCUUUUAGGA